AUGGUGAAGAAGCCGUAUCCCUUCCACAAGCCCUUCAGCCCCCUCCGCCGCCUCCUCCGGCGAACCCUCUCCGGCCGGCACCACCGCCACUCAACGGCAAAAGGUCCAGCCGUACCACCAACGGAAAAGCUGCAGGGCCAGACGGUGAUAGUCGACGUGGAGGCGUGGCUCCUGAUGUCCCGGCUAUCCACCUUCCCUUACUUCAUGCUCGUCGCCAUCGAGGCGGGCGGCUUCCUCCGGGGCCUCCUUCUCCUGCUCACCUAUCCUCUCAUGUGCCUCUUCGGCCAUGACAUGCGCCUCAAGGCCAUGAUCAUGGUGUCCUUCUUCGGGCUGCGUGAGAAGGAGGUCCUUAGGGUUAGCAAGGCCGUCCUGCCAAAGCUCUUCUUGGAAGACGUGGCCGUCCAAGGGCUUGAGGCGGUGAAGAAGGCGAGGAUGGUGGUGGCGGUGAGCACGGUGUUUCCGAGGGUGAUGGUCGAGGGGUUCUUGAAGGAGUACCUCGGUGUCGACACUGUGGUUGGAAGGGAGGUCAUGGUGGUCGCCGGGCGCUAUGUCGGAGUUAUCGCAGAUGAUGCGCUGGCCGCGGAGGAGAUGAUGAACAAGGGCAAGCAUGAUGAAGGGGUUGGGCUUGUCGGAGUUGGCGGCAAGAUGCACCAUUUAUUUUCCCGUAAUUGCAAGGAAACCUAUGCUGUGAGCGAGGCCGACAAGGCGGCAUGGCAGGCAUUGCCGAGGGACAAGUACCCCAAGCCCCUUGUCUUCCACGACGGCCGCCUCGCCUUCGCGCCGACAUUCUCCGCCGCGAUCGCCAUGUACACGUACAUCCCCUUCGGCAUCUUCCUGGCCAUCGUCCGCAGCAUGGCAUACAGCCUCCUCCCCUACCGCAUCUCGGUCCCGAUCGGGGCCCUCACCGGCAUGCGCUCCCGCAUCAUCGCCGGCCCGCCCGCCGACGCCAUGGAUGAAAACAAGGCCGGCGGCCGCCUCUACGUGUGCAACCACCGCACCCUCCUGGACCCAAUCACCGUCGCGGCUGGGCUCCGCAAGCCCGUCACCGCGGUCACCUACAGCGUGAGCCCCGUCUCCGAGCUGAUGGCGCCCAUCCGCACGGCGCGGCUGACCCGGGACCGGGACGAGGACCGCCGGCGCAUGGCGGGGCUGCUGGCGCGCGGAAACCUUGUGGUGUGCCCCGAGGGGACGACCUGCCGGGAGCCCUACCUGCUCCGCUUCAGCCCGUUGUUCGCCGAGCUCGCCGCCGAGGUUACCCCCGUCGCGCUCGAGACGCGCGUGGAUAUGUUCUACGGCACGUCCACCAAGCCGGCGUCCAAAGUGCUCGACCCGCUCUACUUCAUGAUGAACCCGCGGCCGGAGUACCGCGUCGAAUUCCUGGAGCCGGUCGAUACCACGACCGUGGCCGACGGCGAGGAGGACGGCCACGGCCGCGACAAAAGCCACAGCAUCCACGUGGCGAACCGGGUGCAGCGUGUGCUGGGCGAGGCGCUUGCGUUCGACCUCACCGAGCAGACGAGGAAACACAAAUACAUGAUGCUCGCCGGGAACGAAGGCAUCGUCAAAGUGAAGGCCAACAAGUCGUAG
RNAcentral lists this ribosomal RNA (1587 nucleotides) under Triticum aestivum (bread wheat). Its description in RNAcentral is "partial small subunit ribosomal RNA". Lineage: Eukaryota; Viridiplantae; Streptophyta; Magnoliopsida; Poales; Poaceae. The record is from RNAcentral.